This is a long non-coding RNA of Saccostrea cuccullata (small rock oyster), 407 nucleotides long. RefSeq lists it as uncharacterized. The record is from RefSeq and is a predicted model, not a curated record. The transcript is spliced from 3 exons. NCBI's taxonomy places the organism in Eukaryota, Metazoa, Mollusca, Bivalvia, Ostreida, Ostreidae.
GCGGUGGCUCCAUUGCAGGCAUUGUUGUUGGGAUCGUAGCGUUAAUUACUGUGGGGGGCAGCUUAGCUCUUUGUAAAAAGUGCCAGCUAUUCUGUUUCCACCCAACGUCGAGUACAGGAAGAAAUAUGGAUUCCGAAACGCAAACAAAUAAUGACGGAGUAAACCACAGGUAUCACGGCACAGUUAACCAAUACAAUGGCCCUGCACAGCCACAGAACGAUGGUGCUCUCCAGUUAUACAGAUAUAAUAAUAUGGCCGUCAUGCCGCAUCAACUCCCAAACAUACCAAAAGGAGGUUACCUACAGGCACGACAUAUUCAUGAAGAGACAAAAAAUGGAACAGUGAGAGAAAUAAGGGAAAUGACAUAUUAUCAAGGCGAAUGAGUGAAGUAAAUUGACAUUCCUGAA